AUGAACACUUUGGGGGACCUCCAACCCCCUGGGGGGUCCCUGACUCUCCUCUGCCGUGGAUCUGGGUUCAAUUUUGGGAGCCACGCCAUUUUCUGGAUGCGCCAGAAACCCGGGAAGACUCUGGAAUCGCUUGCAGCCAUCAAGAGCGAUGACAGCACCUCCUACGCAGAGUCCGUCAAGGGCCGGUUCACGAUCUCCAGGGACAACGGGCAGAGCUCGGUGACGCUGACCAUGAACAGCCUCAAGGACGAGGAUUCCGCCGUUUAUUUCUGUGCCAGAUGUGAUGAUGGCACUUGUGGUUCUGAUGCUGUUGCUUGGAUUGGUGAUGCAGGUUUUGGUUCAAGCCCCUACUUCUUUACCCGCAAAUAUCCCAUAAUUCCGUCAUUACUCCUGCAAAUGUCAAUCCUUCCCCUCAAAUUUUGA
Catharus ustulatus (Swainson's thrush) is the source of this 423-nucleotide non-coding RNA. The record is from the annotation of a RefSeq genome assembly. Lineage: Eukaryota; Metazoa; Chordata; Aves; Passeriformes; Turdidae.